Molecule: long non-coding RNA, 390 nt
Filed under: Populus tremula
Lineage: Eukaryota; Viridiplantae; Streptophyta; Magnoliopsida; Malpighiales; Salicaceae
Description: long non-coding RNA (PTRE_LNC000960)
Source: RNAcentral
CAAAUACCAUGCACAAUGUGCUAUUCCUGUGACAAUCCUUGUCAGCCUUUACCAUCGCCGCCUCCACCUGCUAUCCCUGAAUGUCCACCGCCUCCUCCCCCACCUUCUCCACCGCCACCUGCUAUCCCUGAAUGUCCACCGCCUGCUCCCCCACCUUCUCCACCGCCACCAGCUAUCCCCGAGUGUCCACCACCACCAGCUCCUAUUAAUGAGUGUCCUGCGUGUCCAACACCACCGACACCAUUUCCGCCUGUGCCCCCGCCUAAGCAGUCGUAUUGGCCGGCUGCUGGCUAUUUCUUUAAGGGACCACCAGGUGGUUACGGGAACAAUCCAGUGCCGUACUUCCCAUUUGACAAUAACAACCCACAACCUUCUUUCUCUUUCAAAUCC